GGUGUGUCAUGGUAUUAGCCCUUUUGUAACAUGUAGCUGAGAAUAGUUGAGGAAAACUCCAGUGUUUUUCAUCUUUUUCUUUCCAAGUGAAUCGGACUCUGGAAGUGAUCCGUCUUUCUUUGAUGCUGUGAAAGGUCUGAUUUACUCUGAAGUGGCAGUGGUGAUAUCCCAGAACGAAAGACACCCACGUUUCUUGAUUGAUCUUUUCCAACAGUUGAAACACCUAAACAACAACUAUCAGCGGGAGCGAGCUUUGACAGUCUUACGAGAUCUAGCGUUGUUAGGAAGAGUAGCAGAAACAGUUCCCAGUGAAACAAAGAAUAAGGAGGCACCGAGGAACUGGAAUUAUUCUCAAAACAAGUCAUUAUCACAA
Limulus polyphemus (Atlantic horseshoe crab) is the source of this 373-nucleotide long non-coding RNA. RefSeq lists it as uncharacterized. Lineage: Eukaryota; Metazoa; Arthropoda; Merostomata; Xiphosura; Limulidae. The record is from RefSeq and is a predicted model, not a curated record. The transcript is spliced from 2 exons.